CUCCCCCUACGGGAGGCAGCAGUGAGGAAUAUUGGUCAAUGGGCGGAAGCCUGAACCAGCCAAGUCGCGUGAAGGAAUAAGGCCCUACGGGUCGUAAACCUCUUUUGCCGGGGAGCAAGGGCCGGGACGAGUCCCGGUCCGGAGAGUACCCGGAGAAAAAGCAUCGGCUAACUCCGUGCCAGCAGCCGCGGUAAUACGGAGGAUGCGAGCGUUAUCCGGAUUUAUUGGGUUUAAAGGGUGCGUAGGCGGGCUUUUAAGUCGGCG
This 264-nucleotide ribosomal RNA is filed under the name uncultured bacterium. RNAcentral's name for it is "partial 16S ribosomal RNA". It matches the Rfam family "Bacterial small subunit ribosomal RNA", at positions 333 to 593 of the family's 1533-position model. The record is from RNAcentral.